RNAcentral lists this ribosomal RNA (450 nucleotides) under uncultured bacterium. Its description in RNAcentral is "bacterial SSU rRNA". It matches the Rfam family "Bacterial small subunit ribosomal RNA", at positions 919 to 1368 of the family's 1533-position model. The record is from RNAcentral.
GCCCGCACAAGCGGUGGAGCAUGUGGUUUAAUUCGAUGCAACGCGAAGAACCUUACCUGGUCUUGACAUCCACAGAACUUUCCAGAGAUGGAUUGGUGCCUUCGGGAACUGUGAGACAGGUGCUGCAUGGCUGUCGUCAGCUCGGUGUUGUGAAAUGUUGGGUUAAGUCCCGCAACGAGCGCAACCCUUAUCCUUUGUUGCCAGCGGUCCGGCCGGGAACUCAAAGGAGACUGCCAGUGAUAAACUGGAGGAAGGUGGGGAUGACGUCAAGUCAUCAUGGCCCUUACGACCAGGGCUACACACGUGCUACAAUGGCGCAUACAAAGAGAAGCGACCUCGCGAGAGCAAGCGGACCUCAUAAAGUGCGUCGUAGUCCGGAUUGGAGUCUGCAACUCGACUCCAUGAAGUCGGAAUCGCUAGUAAUCGUGGAUCAGAAUGCCACGGUGAAUA